UGACCGAUAGCGUAUAGUACCGUGAGGGAAAGGUGAAAAGAACCCCGGGAGGGGAGUGAAAGAGAACCUGAAACCCUGCACUUACAAGCUGUAGGAGCACAUUUCUUGUGUGACUGCGUACUUUUUGUAGAACGGGCCAACGAGUUACGUUGUGUAGCAAGGUUAAGCACUUAAGGUGUGGAGCCGUAGCGAAAGCGAGUCUUAAAUGGGCGUCUAGUUACCCGACGUAGACCCGAAACCAGGCGACCUAUCCAUGAGCAGGUUGAAGCGAAAGUAAAAUUUCGUGGAGGACCGAACCCACGUACGUUGAAAAGUGCGGGGAUGACUUGUGGAUAGCGGUGAAAUUCCAAUCGAGCCUGGAGAUAGCUGGUUCUCCCCGAAAUAGCUUUAGGGCUAGCCUCAAGAUUAGAGAAGCGGAGGUAGAGCACUGAAUGUCCUAGGGGGUAUUGCACUUACCGAAGACUAUCAAACUCCGAAUGCCGUAUUCUUUUGCUUGGGAGUCAGACUAUGGGUGAUAAGAUUCAUAGUCAAGAGGGCAACAGCCCAGAUCGUCAGCUAAGGUCCCUAAAUGUAAGUUAAGUGGUAAAGGAUGUGGAAUUGCACAGACAACCAGGAUGUUGGCUUAGAAGCAGCCACUCAUUUAAAGAGUGCGUAAUAGCUCACUGGUCGAGUGAUUCUGCGCCGAAAAUUUCCGGGGCUAAAACUUACUACCGAAGCUACGGCAUCAUUAUGAUGGGUAGGGGAGCUUUCUAUACGGGUUGAAGCAUGACCGUAAGGACAUGUGGACUGUAUAGAAGUGAGAAUGUUGGCAUGAGUAGCGAGAUGUGGGUGAGAAUCCCACAGGCCGUAAACCCAAGGUUUCCAGGGGAAGGUUCGUCCGCCCUGGGUUAGUCAGGACCUAAGCCGAGGCCGAAAGGCGUAGGUGAUGGACAACAGGUUGAUAUUCCUGUACCACCAAUAACCGUUUGAGAAAUGGGAUGACACAGUAGGAUAAGCUAACCGCACUGUUGGUUAUGUGCGGGCAAGUAUUGAGGCAGUUCCGAUAGGCAAAUCCGUCGGAAUAAUGCUGGGGUACGAUGCGGAGCGAAAUUAAGUAGCGAAGUAGCUGAUUUCACACUGUCGAGAAAAGUCUCUAUCGAGGUUAAAGGUGCCUGUACCGCAAACCGACACAGGUGGGUGAGGAGAGUAUCCUAAGGCCAGCGAGAGAACUGUUGUUAAGGAACUCGGCAAAAUGACCCCGUAACUUAGGGAGAAGGGGUGCCUUCGAAAGAAGGCCGCAGAGAAUAGGCCCAAGCGACUGUUUACCAAAAACAUAGGUUUCUGCUAAGUCGCAAGACGAUGUAUAGGAGCUGACGCCUGCCCGGUGCUGGAAGGUUAAGGGGAUCUGUUAGAGCAAUCGAAGCAGUGAACUUAAGCCCCAGUAAACGGCGGCCGUAACUAUAACGGUCCUAAGGUAGCGAAAUUCCUUGUCGGGUAAGUUCCGACCC
Molecule: ribosomal RNA, 1487 nt
Filed under: human gut metagenome
Description: bacterial LSU rRNA
Rfam family: Bacterial large subunit ribosomal RNA
Source: RNAcentral